This 481-nucleotide ribosomal RNA is filed under the name uncultured bacterium. RNAcentral describes it as "bacterial SSU rRNA". It matches the Rfam family "Bacterial small subunit ribosomal RNA", at positions 30 to 527 of the family's 1533-position model. The record is from RNAcentral.
AUUGAACGCUGGCGGCAUGCCUUACACAUGCAAGUCGAACGGCAGCACGGGAGCAAUCCUGGUGGCGAGUGGCGAACGGGUGAGUAAUAUAUCGGAACGUGCCCAGUCGUGGGGAUAACGUAGCGAAAGCUACGCUAAUACCGCAUACGAUCUAUGGAUGAAAGCGGGGGAUCGCAAGACCUCGCGCGAUUGGAGCGGCCGAUAUCAGAUUAGGUAGUUGGUGAGGUAAAGGCUCACCAAGCCGACGAUCUGUAGCUGGUCUGAGAGGACGACCAGCCACACUGGGACUGAGACACGGCCCAGACUCCUACGGGAGGCAGCAGUGGGGAAUUUUUGGACAAUGGGCGAAAGCCUGAUCCAGCAAUGCCGCGUGAGUGAUGAAGGCCUUAGGGUGUAAAGCUCUUUUUACUCGGGUAUGAUAAUGACAGUACCGGGAGAAUAAAGCUCCGGCUAACUCCGUGCCAGCAGCCGCGGUAAAGUG